GAUGAACGCUGGCGGCGUGCUUAACACAUGCAAGUCGAACGAAGCACCUCUCCCGAAGAUUGACACAGCUUGCUGUAGAUUGAUUCAUUUGAGGUGACUGAGUGGCGGACGGGUGAGUAACGCGUGGGUAACCUGCCCCAUAGAGGGGGACAACAGUUGGAAACGACUGCUAAUACCGCAUAGUAAGAAGAAUUCGCAUGUUUUCUUCUUGAAAGAUUUAUCGCUAUGAGAUGGACCCGCGUCUGAUUAGCUAGUUGGUAAGGUAACGGCUUACCAAGGCGACGAUCAGUAGCCGGCUUGAGAGAGUGAACGGCCACAUUGGGACUGAGACACGGCCCAAACUCCUACGGGAGGCAGCAGUGGGGAAUAUUGCACAAUGGGGGAAACCCUGAUGCAGCGACGCCGCGUGAGUGAAGAAGUAUUUCGGUAUGUAAAGCUCUAUCAGCAGGGAAGAUAAUGACGGUACCUGACUAAGAAGCCCCGGCUAACUACGUG
This 495-nucleotide ribosomal RNA is filed under the name uncultured bacterium. RNAcentral describes it as "partial 16S ribosomal RNA". It matches the Rfam family "Bacterial small subunit ribosomal RNA", at positions 28 to 507 of the family's 1533-position model. The record is from RNAcentral.